This 206-nucleotide long non-coding RNA is filed under the name Gallus gallus (chicken). Lineage: Eukaryota; Metazoa; Chordata; Aves; Galliformes; Phasianidae. The record is from RNAcentral.
UGACGAACGUGGCAUUAUCCUCACGGGAAAAAAAGCAGCAACUCCAGAACUUGAGAGCGAAGAGCUUGAGAGCAGCACGGAGUUUCCGAUACAGUUCCUCUAAUUCUGCAUGCAAUCUUUAGAAGUUUCUCCUCCUGAUCCUCCUUUUGCAAUCGGAAUGCCCAGCCGUGCCAGAAAGCUGCCGGCGUCCCGCCGCGACACGCAAC